This 558-nucleotide ribosomal RNA is filed under the name Bairdiella chrysoura (silver perch). RNAcentral's name for it is "partial 16S ribosomal RNA". It matches the Rfam family "Bacterial large subunit ribosomal RNA", at positions 1849 to 2597 of the family's 2925-position model. Lineage: Eukaryota; Metazoa; Chordata; Actinopteri; Sciaenidae. The record is from RNAcentral.
GAGGUCCAGCCUGCCCGGUGAUAUCUAUUCAACGGCCGCGGUAUUUUGACCGUGCGAAGGUAGCACGAUCACUUGUCUUUUAAAAAAAGACCUGUAUGAACGGCUAAACGAGGGCUUAACUGUCUCCUUUUUCCAGUCAAUGAAAUUGAUCUUCCCGUGCAGAAGCGGGAAUUCAAACAUAAGACGAGAAGACCCUGUGGAGCUUUAGAUGAAAACCCAGGCCACGUCAAAACCCCCUAUUAAAGGCACGAACUAAGUGGACACUGCUAACAUGUCUUCAGUUGGGGCGACUGCGGAAAAAUACAAAACCUCCGCGUGGAUAAGGAGCAUUAAACUUUACUCUUACAUUUUAUGGGCCCCCGCCCUAAUAAACAGAAUCUCUGACCAAUCAGACCCGGCUUAACUGCCGAUUAACGAACCAAGUUACCCCAGGGAUAACAGCGCAAUCCCCUUUUAGAGCCCUUAUCAACAAGGGGGUUUACGACCUCGAUGUUGGAUCAGGACAUCCUAAUGGCGCAACCGCUAUUAAGGGUUCGUUUGUUCAACGAUUAAAGUCCU